This is a long non-coding RNA of Panicum virgatum (switchgrass), 602 nucleotides long. RefSeq lists it as uncharacterized. Lineage: Eukaryota; Viridiplantae; Streptophyta; Magnoliopsida; Poales; Poaceae. The record is from RefSeq and is a predicted model, not a curated record. The transcript has 2 exons.
UACUAUGCUUGCUCUUUUUUGUUUCUUACAAUGAGUUAGCAUGACCUAUGUUCUUAUCUCAAAUAAUUCAGUGAAUGUUUUAAAUUACAGCCAAUGCUUAUAGGUGAUGUUAAUUCAUUUCUUGAUGAAGUUUCCAUAGCAUUCCGCACUAAUGCACUCUUGGCAGUUUGCACGGCACUAUUUAUCAGAUCAGCCUGCUGUCAAUGUUUGUGCUGAUGGUGUUUAACGUACUACUUGAUGAAGCUUCUGUACCCACAAUGACAACGUUGCUAUUAUGAGGUACUACAAUGGUUCAAAUUUUGUCGAGGAAUGAUGGUUAAUUUCCUUUUGCUUAUUUACUCUUUAUGCGCUCUUCUAUUUAACCACUCUGUACCAAAUGAGCAAUAGGGUCCUGUUGGUCAGAUAUCAUGUGUAGUGAGUGUUUGUAGCUUGUAGAGUCAUAGAGUGCCAACCUGUUUUUUUUUCUUCUUCUUUUUAUGUAUCCUUCAUAUAUGAGCUGUUACGUAUUGUGAUAUCCACAAUUUGCUGGCAAUGUCAGGCUACUUAGUAUUCAUAUUAUAUACAACAUUGUAUAUAUAAAUGAUAUGUUUUUAGGGGAUUUA